Long non-coding RNA from Peromyscus leucopus (white-footed mouse), 1092 nucleotides. RefSeq lists it as uncharacterized. NCBI's taxonomy places the organism in Eukaryota, Metazoa, Chordata, Mammalia, Rodentia, Cricetidae. The transcript is spliced from 3 exons. The record is from RefSeq and is a predicted model, not a curated record.
UGAGUGCUGAUAAAGGGAAAUGUGGAUAGUCCAAAUGCCCGUGUCACCCUGCAUGAUUUGUAUCCAGGAACAGCAUUAAGAAAGCAUUGCAAAACCAACUUCCUCCCUCAGGGAUGGGUUGCUUUGCAAUCGUGAUGGGGGAUUUGAGGCCCAGAAGUAGAUCUGGGAGAAAGCUGAAGAAAGGAGUGGAAGCCAAGAAUGAGACCCAGAGAGCCCACACCCAAUUAUUAUCUCUGGAUGAGAACUAUGGAGUCUGCUUCCCUGGCCCAACCUUUGAUGAGCACAUUUUCCUUCCAUCUACUCAUAUUUGUUCCUCCCCUCAACACCUCUCAAAGCAUCCAGCAUUUUCUCUCAGUAUGAACCAAACCUUUCAAGAAUACUUUUGUGAUAAGACCCAGUUCUAAUCAUGGAGCAAAGUCUUCCCCACUGGAGACAAGUGUUGGGCUCUAGCUGGGGGUUAAGAAGUUUUUCUCUGAGAAGAAGAUCUGUACCCUUGGACCCACAUCACCAUCAUACCACUGUGGCCAUUGGCAAUGAGUCCAGGUUGAUGUCACUCUGCAGUUACUGGCCUCAUUCUCCCUCUUGGUCUCCAUGAUGGUUAAUUUUCCUUGUCAACGUGACAGGAUUUGGAACCAUGUAAGAGACACACCUCUAGACAUAUAUCUGAGAGUGUUUCUAGAAAUUUCCAACUAAGGUAGGAUGAGGUAGGAAUAUGUAAAACCUAACACUCUCUUCUAACUCCUCUACAAGGCCAACCAAAGCCUAGUAAGAAAGCCUGCCACCCUGGAGAAAAAGCUUCUAAACUUCCCUCUCCCUGCCUACAUGGAAGAGGGCUCCCCCACUUACCGUCCAGUGUCACAUCCACAUUUCACUUCAACUGGCAACGGCUUUAAGAGCUCUUCACCUACAGAUGUCUGUCUAUCUGCACCUCAUGCAGUGCUUCUUAAUGACACAUGCAAGUCGGCACCCAUCACAAAAGACCAGCAGAUGCAUCCAGCCUCAUGGACCGUAAAAUUACCGGAUUUGUGAACCUUCUGUACAUAGGCAGCCAUUGUUAGAUUAGCUGGACCACAGCCUGUAAGUAAAAUUCGA